Dreissena polymorpha is the source of this 282-nucleotide long non-coding RNA. RefSeq lists it as uncharacterized. The record is from RefSeq and is a predicted model, not a curated record. The transcript is spliced from 3 exons. Lineage: Eukaryota; Metazoa; Mollusca; Bivalvia; Myida; Dreissenidae.
CAUAAAAGCUGAGCUGAAGAAGUUCCAGGUGGGUGGUGCCAGUCCUACAGAUGCGACCCAGUUUGUGUACCUGUACUCGGGCGGCACGGGCAACGGGUCCAUCCCUGGCUUUUCUGCCUCAUCAGCCCAUAAAACAGAUGAUGAAGACAGCGACAACAGCAAGGCUGCCUUGAGCUACAAGGACAGACAAAGGGAAGCUCACACAGCGGCAGAGCAGAAACGCCGGGAUGCCAUCAAGCUUUAAUAAAAUGGACCCAACAGUUGCCAACCCAACAGUUGCCA